Molecule: long non-coding RNA, 546 nt
Filed under: Nicotiana benthamiana
Lineage: Eukaryota; Viridiplantae; Streptophyta; Magnoliopsida; Solanales; Solanaceae
Description: long non-coding RNA (NBEN_LNC031662)
Source: RNAcentral
UGCCUUCCGGUGGCUCGAUUCUCACUCAGUGGACGUUUUGGGUGCUUUUCCGACGUUCCUAACCAUAUUUCCAGUAAAGUUGCUUUUAAGGUUACACCUAGGAUUUGAUACCUAGGGUUUCUCUGUUGUUUGAAGGCCGAUCUUCUCCGGUCGCGAAGAAGGAGGGUAACUCUGUCCUUAUCUUCGGUAUUAUAUGUGAUUAUNNNAUCUUCUCCGGUCGCGAAGAAGGAGGGUAACUCUGUCCUUAUCUUCGGUAUUACAUGUGAUUGUUUGACUGUGUACUUAUGAGCAUCUGGUGUUGUCUGUGAAUACCUGACUUGACUGUAUUCUGUUUGUUGGUUGUUGUAUGUGAGUACCUGUUUUGGUUAUAUUCUGUUUGUUGAAAAAGUUGUUCAUUUAAGCCGGUUCAUUGACUAUGGCUUCUAACACAAGUACUAGUGCCUCCCAUUCUCUACACUCUUCCAGUCCCCUUUUUGUAUAUUAUUCUGAUGUCCCUGGGGUAUCUCUUGUUCCCACUCCCUUCUCGGGUAGUGGUUAUGGGGGCUG